Molecule: long non-coding RNA, 326 nt
Organism: Amphiprion ocellaris (clown anemonefish)
Lineage: Eukaryota; Metazoa; Chordata; Actinopteri; Pomacentridae
Source: Ensembl
CCACCCAAGGCUACGCAUUUUAUAGACAAGCCUCGACUCAGAGAGGAACGCCGCGACUCCCGGCAUCGGCGGCUAUUCAUCACGCUAAAUGGACUGGAUCCGUUUUCAUGUCGCAGGAAGGAGAAAGUGGAGCCCAUUGUGUUGCUGUGAAACACAUUAACGCUGCUCUCAGAGAGUAAAGACGUCAGGAGAUGCCGUGAACCCAUCGUGUUUUUGUUUCCUUGGUGGAAGUCAAACAUGUCAGCGCAGCCCUCAGAAGCUCGCGCAGGUUAAGGGACCGAUGAAGUUCCUCCUCGGCCUCCUCUGCAGCCGCUCCUACAGUGUGU